This 314-nucleotide unclassified non-coding RNA is filed under the name uncultured Thelephoraceae. Its description in RNAcentral is "sequence contains ITS2". Lineage: Eukaryota; Fungi; Basidiomycota; Agaricomycetes; Thelephorales; Thelephoraceae. The record is from RNAcentral.
AACGCACCUUGCGCCCUUUGGCUAUUCCGAAGGGCAUGCCUGUUUGAGUAUCAUGAACACCUCAACUCUCAUGGCUUGCCAUGAUGAGCUUGGACUUUGGGGGUCUUGCUGGCCUACGGUCGGCUCCUCUCAAACGAAUCAGCUUGCCAGUGUUUGGUGGCGUCACAGGUGUGAUAACUAUCUACGCUUGUGGUUCUCCACCAGGUAACCUUCAGUGAUGGAGGUUCGCUGGAGCUCAUAAACGUCUCUCCUCUGCGAGGACAACUUCUUGAACGUUUGAUCUCAAAUCAGGUAGGACUACCCGCUGAACUUAA